Molecule: long non-coding RNA, 332 nt
Organism: Vidua chalybeata
Lineage: Eukaryota; Metazoa; Chordata; Aves; Passeriformes; Viduidae
Exons: 3
Source: RefSeq, a predicted model, not a curated record
GCAGGAGAGAUAGAAAAGGGGCUUCCUUUGCAAAUUCACAGGGGCAAGUGGUCCUGUGCCCCUCCAGAUGGUGAGAUGGGCUGUAGCAGGAACCUUGGAGGCUGGAACAGCAGAGGCUCCAUUGAAAAAGCCUGAACUUCUGGCAUGCGGAGGGGAUGCAGAAGGGGGGCUGGCAUCCCCAAAGAUGAGGCCUCUCAGCCCUCCCUGCUCUGACCUUCCCCUUUGACACAGGUGUUAGGAGCCAACUGAGGUAUUUGCUUCCCUUUGAAGAGCCAACAGCACUUCCAGGCGUAAAAGUCCAAUUCCUCAGAGUGAGGGAACAGGUCACACUG